This 540-nucleotide ribosomal RNA is filed under the name Yunganastes pluvicanorus. Its description in RNAcentral is "partial 16S ribosomal RNA". The record is from RNAcentral. Lineage: Eukaryota; Metazoa; Chordata; Amphibia; Anura; Strabomantidae.
GCUUGAGAAAGGAAUUUCAGUUCAGCCUAAAGUCAUUUUUCUACGCCUAAACUACCAAUUUUCUUUAGAGUAAUUCAAUCAGGGAACAGCCUUAUUGAAUCAGGACACAACCUUAAUCUACGGGUAAACAUACCAAGAUAUUUAAGUGGGCCUAAAAGCAGCCACCUUUCUUAAAGCGUCAAAGCUAAAUCUAUAUUUCUACUAAUACCCUACCCCCCCACGACCCCUACAAUAGUAUCAAGCAUCUCUAUAAAAUAUAGAGGCCCUUAUGUUAAAACUAGUACCAAGAAGCUAGCCCUUCUCUAUAAUGUAAGUAUAAGCCAGCCUGAACCUCAUCACUGGCAAUUAGCAGUCCAAGCUCGAGUAGAACCUUCACCACCCGAAAACUUUACUUUCUCCCCUGUUAACCUGACACUAGAGCAUUACAAGAAAGAUUAAAAGAAAAAGAAGGAACUCGGCAAAUAUUUUUCCCGCCUGUUUACCAAAAACAUCGCCUCUUGAAAACUCAUAAGAGGUCCAGCCUGCCCAGUGACUUAGUUU